UACGUAGGGCGCAAGCGUUGUCCGGAAUUAUUGGGCGUAAAGGGCGCGCAGGCGGCCCUCCAAGUCAGGCGUGAAAGCCCCGGGCUCAACCCGGGAAUAGCGCUUGAGACUGGGGGGCUUGAGUUCGGGAGAGGAGAGUGGAAUUCCCAGUGUAGAGGUGAAAUUCGUAGAUAUUGGGAAGAACACCGGUGGCGAAGGCGGCUCUCUGGACCGACACUGACGCUGAGGCGCGAAAGCCAGGGGAGCAAACAGG
Molecule: ribosomal RNA, 253 nt
Filed under: uncultured bacterium
Lineage: Bacteria
Description: partial 16S ribosomal RNA
Rfam family: Bacterial small subunit ribosomal RNA
Source: RNAcentral